Molecule: ribosomal RNA, 660 nt
Filed under: Shewanella sp. 72AR
Lineage: Bacteria; Pseudomonadati; Pseudomonadota; Gammaproteobacteria; Alteromonadales; Shewanellaceae
Description: bacterial SSU rRNA
Rfam family: Bacterial small subunit ribosomal RNA
Source: RNAcentral
AAGGGAGCUUGCUCCUGAGGUGACGAGCGGCGGACGGGUGAGUAAUGCCUAGGGAUCUGCCCAGUCGAGGGGGAUAACAGUUGGAAACGACUGCUAAUACCGCAUACGCCCUACGGGGGAAAGGAGGGGACCUUCGGGCCUUCCGCGAUUGGAUGAACCUAGGUGGGAUUAGCUAGUUGGUGAGGUAAUGGCUCACCAAGGCGACGAUCCCUAGCUGUUCUGAGAGGAUGAUCAGCCACACUGGGACUGAGACACGGCCCAGACUCCUACGGGAGGCAGCAGUGGGGAAUAUUGCACAAUGGGGGAAACCCUGAUGCAGCCAUGCCGCGUGUGUGAAGAAGGCCUUCGGGUUGUAAAGCACUUUCAGUAGGGAGGAAAGGUAAUAGUUUAAUAAACUAUUACUGUGACGUUACCUACAGAAGAAGGACCGGCUAACUCCGUGCCAGCAGCCGCGGUAAUACGGAGGGUCCGAGCGUUAAUCGGAAUUACUGGGCGUAAAGCGUGCGCAGGCGGUUUGUUAAGCCAGAUGUGAAAUCCCCGGGCUCAACCUGGGAAUUGCAUUUGGAACUGGCGAACUAGAGUCUUGUAGAGGGGGGUAGAAUUCCAGGUGUAGCGGUGAAAUGCGUAGAUAUCUGGAGGAAUACCGGUGGCGAAGGCGGC